This 321-nucleotide RNase P RNA is filed under the name bovine gut metagenome. Its description in RNAcentral is "Bacterial RNase P class A". It matches the Rfam family "Bacterial RNase P class A". From Rfam's summary of the family: Ribonuclease P (RNase P) is a ubiquitous endoribonuclease, found in archaea, bacteria and eukarya as well as chloroplasts and mitochondria. Its best characterised activity is the generation of mature 5'-ends of tRNAs by cleaving the 5'-leader elements of precursor-tRNAs. The record is from RNAcentral.
AGUAAAUCAGGCGGUUGCGGGUAUAGAAAUAUACGUGAGGAAAGUCCGGGCUUCAUAGAGCAGGGUGCCGGUUAACGGCCGGUGAAGGUGACUUCAAGGAAAGUGCAACAGAAAAUAAACGCCGAAUUUUCGGUAAGUGUGGAAAUGUGAGGUAAGAGCUCACAGGGAUGAUGGUAACUGAAUUCCCGUGUAAACCCCACCCGAAGCAACAUCGACUGUGCAAUUAAGUCUGCUCGGCAAUGCACGACUGAUGGCAUGAACAAAAGGGUAACCUUUUGUCACAGACAGAUAACCGUCCACGACAGAACCCGGCUUACGAUU